RNAcentral lists this ribosomal RNA (499 nucleotides) under uncultured Chloroflexota bacterium. Its description in RNAcentral is "bacterial SSU rRNA". It matches the Rfam family "Bacterial small subunit ribosomal RNA", at positions 355 to 871 of the family's 1533-position model. Lineage: Bacteria; Bacillati; Chloroflexota. The record is from RNAcentral.
UGAGGAAUAUUGGGCAAUGGGCGCAAGCCUGACCCAGCAACGCCGCGUGGAGGAAGACGGCCUUCGGGUUGUAAACUCCUUUUACGGGGGAAGAGGAAGGACGGUACCCCGAGAAUAAGUCACGGCUAACUACGUGCCAGCAGCCGCGGUAAUACGUAGGUGACAAGCGUUAUCCGGAAUUACUGGGCGUAAAGCGCACGCAGGCGGUGCGAUAAGUCUGACGUGAAAUCUCCUGGCUUAACUAGGAGGGGUCGUUGGAAACUGUCGUGCUUGAGGCGAUGAGAGGGGUGUAGAAUUCCCGGUGUAGUGGUGGAAUGCGUAGAUAUCGGGAGGAAUACCAGUGGCGAAAGCGGCACCCUGGCAUUAGCCUGACGCUCAUGUGCGAAGGCGUGGGGAGCGAACGGGAUUAGAUACCCCGGUAGUCCACGCGGUAAACGAUGAAUACUAGGUGUGGGUGAGUGAAAUCCAUCUGUGCCGAAGCAAACGCGAUAGUAUUCCG